GAUGAACGCUGGCGGCGUGCCUAAUACAUGCAAGUCGAGCGAACAGACGAGGAGCUUGCUCCUCUGACGUUAGCGGCGGACGGGUGAGUAACACGGGGAUAACCUACCUAUAAGACUUGGAUAACUUCGGGAAACCGGAGCUAAUACCGGAUAAUAUAUUGAACCGCAUGGUUCAAUAGUGAUAGACGGUUUUGAUGUCACUUAUAGAUGGAUCAGCGCCGCAUUAGCUAGUUGGUAAGGUAACGGCUUACCAAGGCAACGAGGCGUAGCCGCCCUGAGGGGGUGGAUGGACACACGGGAACUGAGAGACGGUGCCGACACCUGAGGGAGGCCGCAGUAGGGAAUCCUACGCAAUGGGCGAGAGCCUGACAGAGCACCACGGCGUGAGUGCUGAAGGUCUUAGGAUGGUAAAACUAUGUUAUUAGGGAAGAACAAAUGUGUAAGUAACUAUGCACAUAAUGACGGUACCUGACCAGAAAGCCCCGGCUAACUACGUG
Molecule: ribosomal RNA, 497 nt
Filed under: uncultured bacterium
Lineage: Bacteria
Description: partial 16S ribosomal RNA
Rfam family: Bacterial small subunit ribosomal RNA
Source: RNAcentral